AUUUUUAUAGUUUAAAAAAAACAUUGUAUUUUCAUUACAAAAUUGAAAUUUAUUUUCUAUAAAUU
RNAcentral lists this transfer RNA (65 nucleotides) under Sambus kanssuensis. RNAcentral describes it as "tRNA-Glu". Lineage: Eukaryota; Metazoa; Arthropoda; Insecta; Coleoptera; Buprestidae. The record is from RNAcentral.